Molecule: ribosomal RNA, 253 nt
Filed under: uncultured bacterium
Lineage: Bacteria
Description: partial 16S ribosomal RNA
Rfam family: Bacterial small subunit ribosomal RNA
Source: RNAcentral
UACGGAGGAUGCAAGCGUUAUCCGGAUUUACUGGGUUUAAAGGGUGCGUAAGCGGCUUUGUAAGUCAGUGGUGAAAUCCCGCAGCUUAACUGCGGAACUGCCAUUGAUACUGCUUUGCUUGAGUACAGUUGAGGUAGGCGGAAUAUGUCAUGUAGUGGUGAAAUACUUAGAUAUGACAUAGAACACCGAUUGCGAAGGCAGCUUGCUAAACUGUAACUGACGCUGAGGCACGAAAGCGUGGGGAGCAAACAGG